CUCAAAGGAAUUGACGGGGACCCGCACAAGCGGUGGAUGAUGUGGUUUAAUUCGAUGCAACGCGAAAAACCUUACCCACCUUUGACAUGUACGGAAUUUGCCAGAGAUGGCUUAGUGCUCGAAAGAGAGCCGUAACACAGGUGCUGCAUGGCUGUCGUCAGCUCGUGUCGUGAGAUGUUGGGUUAAGUCCCGCAACGAGCGCAACCCUUGUCAUUAGUUGCUACAUUCAGUUGGGCACUCUAAUGAGACUGCCGGUGACAAACCGGAGGAAGGUGGGGAUGACGUCAAGUCCUCAUGGCCCUUAUAGGUGGGGCUACACACGUCAUACAAUGGCCGGUACAAAGGGUCGCAAACCCGCGAGGGGGAGCCAAUCCAUCAAAGCCGGUCGUAGUCCGGAUCGCAGUCUGCAACUCGACUGCGUGAAGUCGGAAUCGCUAGUAAUCGUGGAUCAGCAUGUCACGGUGAAUACGUUCCCGGGUCUUGUGCACACCGCCCGUCAC
RNAcentral lists this ribosomal RNA (500 nucleotides) under uncultured bacterium. Its description in RNAcentral is "bacterial SSU rRNA". It matches the Rfam family "Bacterial small subunit ribosomal RNA", at positions 900 to 1400 of the family's 1533-position model. The record is from RNAcentral.